Long non-coding RNA from Stegastes partitus (bicolor damselfish), 583 nucleotides. RefSeq lists it as uncharacterized. NCBI's taxonomy places the organism in Eukaryota, Metazoa, Chordata, Actinopteri, Pomacentridae. The transcript is spliced from 2 exons. The record is from RefSeq and is a predicted model, not a curated record.
GACGACCUCCUGUUCCUCUCCCCUGCAGGCCUACAUUCACACACGUAUGAGGGCCAAGACGUCAGACUUCCUCAAGGUGCUGAAUCGCGCUCGACCCGACGCUGAGAAGAAGGAGAUGAAGACCAUCUCUGGUAAAACCUUCUCCCGCUGAGGCCGACCUCCACCCGACCAAUCCAAACCCCCGUGGACACGCCCAACGAGACUCAACGCCACACCGGACAGGACUCCAGGACGCCCUCGCCCCGCCCCGCCCGCCCAGCCUCUUUGUUUUUUUUAAUUAUUAUUAUUUGGAUGAUCAUAACGUUGGCUGUACUUAGGGAAAGCCACGGCUCAAGAUAAAUGGAAAAAAGGGCAUUCCUUGCUUUGCAUAGUUAAAGAGAAUUAUUAGUCCUAUAUAAAUAUAUAUAUGAGAAAAAAAAAUGAAAUUUUUGAUACGAUAUCUUUUACUCCAUUUGGUACUCUUGCUUGCCCCUCGGCCCUCACCAUGCCGUAUCCAUGUAUUGGAUGAUUCCUCUCCGUGCUUUCAUGUCGUCUGUACCAUUGUCAUUUGAGAAAACAAAAUAAAUCACUCUUUAAAAAAGCA